RNAcentral lists this transfer RNA (72 nucleotides) under Bos taurus (domestic cattle). It matches the Rfam family "tRNA". From Rfam's summary of the family: Transfer RNA (tRNA) molecules are approximately 80 nucleotides in length. Their secondary structure includes four short double-helical elements and three loops (D, anti-codon, and T loops). Lineage: Eukaryota; Metazoa; Chordata; Mammalia; Artiodactyla; Bovidae. The record is from Rfam by way of RNAcentral.
UCCCUGAUGGUUCAGUGGUUAGGCUUGGUACUUUCACUGCCAUGGGCCCUGGUUCUAUCCCUGGUCAAGGAA